CAGGGCGAUGAAAGUACGUUGAAUGGAACAGUUUCCGAUGACUCACUGAAGUUAAGAAACGUAGCGCGUGGUUUGUAUGCGGAGGGGUGACCAUCUGGAUAAUCGCGUGCUGGUUUUC
Molecule: ribosomal RNA, 118 nt
Filed under: Diaphorina citri (Asian citrus psyllid)
Lineage: Eukaryota; Metazoa; Arthropoda; Insecta; Hemiptera; Psyllidae
Source: RNAcentral